This 327-nucleotide ribosomal RNA is filed under the name uncultured eukaryote. RNAcentral's name for it is "partial 18S ribosomal RNA". It matches the Rfam family "Eukaryotic small subunit ribosomal RNA", at positions 1470 to 1796 of the family's 1831-position model. The record is from RNAcentral.
CCCUUAGAUGUUCUGGGCCGCACGCGCGCUACACUGACGAAUGCAACGAGCUUAUAACCUUGGCCGAAAGGUCUGGGUAAUCUCCAAAUUUCGUCGUGAUGGGGAUAGAUUAUUGCAAUUAUUAAUCUUCAACGAGGAAUGCCUAGUAAGCGCAAGUCAUCAGCUUGCGUUGAUUACGCCCCUGCCCUUUGUACACACCGCCCGUCGCUCCUACCGAUUGAAUGGUCCGGUGAAGCGCUCGGACCGCGGCCUCUUGACGGUUCGCUGUCGAUUGGCUGUGGGAAGUUCGUUAAACCUUAUCAUUUAGAGGAAGGAGAAGUCGUAACA